GACAUAUACCGGAAACAUCUGGAGACAGGUGCCCCGCAAGGUCGGUAUACAGGUGGUGCAUGGCUGUCGUCAGCUCGUGUCGUGAGAUGUUGGGUUAAGUCCCGCAACGAGCGCAACCCUCGUUCUAUGUUGCCAGCGGUUCGGCCGGGAACUCAUAGAAGACUGCCGGGGUCAACUCGGAGGAAGGUGGGGAUGACGUCAAGUCAUCAUGCCCC
RNAcentral lists this ribosomal RNA (215 nucleotides) under uncultured Propionicimonas sp. RNAcentral's name for it is "partial 16S ribosomal RNA". It matches the Rfam family "Bacterial small subunit ribosomal RNA", at positions 983 to 1201 of the family's 1533-position model. The record is from RNAcentral. Lineage: Bacteria; Bacillati; Actinomycetota; Actinomycetes; Propionibacteriales; Nocardioidaceae.